CGAGGAUCGGUGCGAGGAUCAUCUGACACAAAAAUAAACCAAACGACUGCCCAGAGGCAACCAGCACCUCCUGACACAGAGACGGAGAAAAAACCUUUUAUUGAACAAGGUGAUGUAGAAGACAGCGGGCCAGCCUAAAGUCUGGCAGAUGUAGCCGGUGAGCGGCAGAGCCAAAAAGGCCCCGAAGUUGGCCCCAGAUCCCGACAGGGUCAUCAGGCGAGAGCGCUCCAGAGGAGGAGCCCACCGAGCCCACAUCGCCAUCAUGGCCGGGAACGUCACACCCUUUGAGAUGGAGACAGGCAGUCAGAUGGGCAGAGAGUGAGACAGGCAUCCAUAGCAGAGUGUGGAUGUGUAGCAAAUUUCAAAUGUUUCCUCUGCAUUAAUACAUCUGGGAUGGUGCAAAAUAAAGCUGAAAUGAUCAGGUUGUGAAUCAAUUAGUACAGUGUUUAGGUACUUUAAUACAUUAAUUAUGCAAUAUCAUAUAUAAUUCCUAAAAAAAGUGUAAUAUAAGUUCAAUAAACCACAUUUUAUAUUCAAUAUUUCGAUUUUUAAAGAUCCUCAGUGAAGCACAAGUAAGUGCAACUUAUCAAAAGAGACACAGUUCAAUGCAACAACAACGCUGUUAAUAAGUUAUAUAAGUAUUUUUCUUAAUAAAUCAGACCCUGAUGGCCCAGCGCUGUGA
Dicentrarchus labrax (European seabass) is the source of this 682-nucleotide long non-coding RNA. RefSeq lists it as uncharacterized. The transcript is spliced from 2 exons. NCBI's taxonomy places the organism in Eukaryota, Metazoa, Chordata, Actinopteri, Moronidae. The record is from RefSeq and is a predicted model, not a curated record.